UGCUGUAGAGAGGGGAUUUAGGGAGGGGAAGCCAUGGGAGAGCAGGGAAGGAGGAAGAAACGUGAGAAGGAAGAGAGGACCGGUCUGGAUAAGAUGGGAGGGGGGCAACGGGCCAGGGAAAGGGUUGGGCUGGCUGGGCCUUUGAUUUUUUUUUUUAGUGUGUUACAUUCUCCCCUCCUUUAAAGAAUUCGUCCCCGAAUUUAACUACUCAAAGGUAUACCAACUUGAUAAAUUAAAACUUACCGCUCUCAAAGAGUUGUGGGUACUUCUUGCGCAUUUGGUCCUCGAGCUCCCAAGUCGCUUCACGCUCCGACUGAUUACUCCAUAGAACCUUGACAUAUUUGAUGGUCCUCUUUCUCAUGACUCGCUCGGAUGAGUCUAAGAUACGUUCUGGGUGACAUUCCACAAUUAGAUUUGGCUCCAC
This 424-nucleotide long non-coding RNA is filed under the name Setaria viridis. RNAcentral's name for it is "long non-coding RNA (SVIR_LNC003249)". The record is from RNAcentral. Lineage: Eukaryota; Viridiplantae; Streptophyta; Magnoliopsida; Poales; Poaceae.